UUGUUUAACCUUCAUCUGCUUGUCGUUAGUUAAAAAUGUAAAGUACUGCACUUAAAAGACCAUGAAAAAGUUCACGAUGCGUUAACAAAAUCGAUAGCAUUUUUGAAAAACAACUUUAAAUAGGUUGGCAAUUACUUUUUUUAAAAGUUGCCAGACCUGUUCUCAAACGCUUGAAUGAUAAGAGUUGGCUCAUAUAUAUGGUGUAGCGACCCAUAAACGAACGAUAUAGCAAUAUUUUCAUCAUAAGGACAUUCUUACAUAGCAAAAGGUGCAGACUUAAACAAAAAUGAAGCAACUCAUGCAAUUUGUGCUCCUGUUUUGUCUUACUGGAUUGGUGCUCAGCAAAAGUGUAUCUAAUGCGGAAAACAAUGAAUUAUUAAAAGAUACAGAACGUCUUGCACACGAUCGCAUACGUAGACAACAGG
Long non-coding RNA from Ruditapes philippinarum (Manila clam), 425 nucleotides. RefSeq lists it as uncharacterized. The record is from RefSeq and is a predicted model, not a curated record. NCBI's taxonomy places the organism in Eukaryota, Metazoa, Mollusca, Bivalvia, Venerida, Veneridae. The transcript is spliced from 2 exons.